Polistes dominula (European paper wasp) is the source of this 1111-nucleotide long non-coding RNA. NCBI's taxonomy places the organism in Eukaryota, Metazoa, Arthropoda, Insecta, Hymenoptera, Vespidae. The record is from RefSeq and is a predicted model, not a curated record.
AGUAUUUGAAUCAAAUCGAUUGAGUUCCAAAAUGAGAGCAGUAAUUAAUACGGUAAAAGAAAUUAUAAAAAAGAAAGAUAAACUACUUAUAAUUGUUUCGGAAUGGUUAAGCAUGUUUGAAAUUCUUGGAUCUCAUUUAUCUACGAUAAAAAGAGCUACGUAUUCUUAAGUUUCAAGCAAAGUUCCUAUUAAACAUUAACAAGUAAAAGAUUAUUCUUAUUAUUUGAUUUAUAAUUAAUGUAGAAAGGAAAAUUAGUUUGUAGUGGUCCCCGAAGUGGGUCCCAGUCACCACAACACAGCACGUCCUCAGGUUGCGGAUAAAGGAAGGGCCUAUUGGUCCUGCAUAGGGACGGAGAUUAGCUGCGAAUAAAUUGAAUAAACAGUCGCGAAUAGCCGACUUGAAAUUGGCCUUCUUUCGGGGGUUGGGCGUAGGUCUGAUUAGCCCACACCGUAAAACGACUUUUAUCACGAAACAAUGAAAACCGCCAAACAAAAGCGAUAUCCGACGAAAAUCUAAGAAUGCUUUUUGCAAAAAAAAAAAAAACACACAACACACAAUUAUUAAAGCAUUAUUAAUACAGGAAUGAAAUAUUCUUUUAUAACUUGUUAAGAUAUCCUUUUACAGUUUCAAUGUGUUAUCUCAUAGUAGUAUAACUCAUCACAUGCAUAACAAACAUAUCAUAUUAUUGGAUAUUUUUAUAUAGCAAUGAUAUGGCUGUGGCUCUCAUUUCGUAUAAAUAAAUAAAUAUAUAAAUAAUCUAAUGAUAGAUUGAAUGUUAUUAUUUCCAUGUGUAUGAAAUAACACGAUUUGUGAAUAUACUGUGAAUUUAUAAGAUGUACGUUGUUUAAGAAACUACAAGUUUAUUAAUUAUUAACAAUAAACGACUUACAACGAUGUACCUUUGCGUUUAGAGAACACCAUAUAUAGAUUACUGUAUAUUUAUUCAGCUGACGAAGAAGACAGAGACAGUGUUUCUAACAAUCAAAGAAAUUUCUCUCUCUCUCUCUCUCUCUUCUCUCCCUCAUUCAAUGAUACUUUUAAACUUAUCAUACUGUCGCAUUUUAUUUGUUAUUCAUUCUAUUAAGAAAUAUGUAUUAUUAUCAAUUUUCA